UGCCAGCCGCCGCGGUAACACGGAGGGUGCAAGCAUUAAUCGGAAUUACUGGGCGUAAAGCGCUCGUAGGCGGUUGAUUAAGUCGGAUGUGAAAGCCCAGGGCUUAACCUUGGAACUGCAUUCGAUACUGGUCAGCUAGAGUACAGUAGAGGCAAGUGGAAUUUCCUGUGUAGCGGUGAAAUGCGUAGAUAUAGGAAGGAACAUCAGUGGCGAAGGCGACUCACUGGCACAUUUCUGACGCUGAGGCGCGAAAGCGUGGGGAGCAAACAGGAUUAGAUA
RNAcentral lists this ribosomal RNA (279 nucleotides) under uncultured bacterium. Its description in RNAcentral is "partial 16S ribosomal RNA". It matches the Rfam family "Bacterial small subunit ribosomal RNA", at positions 506 to 784 of the family's 1533-position model. The record is from RNAcentral.